RNAcentral lists this ribosomal RNA (117 nucleotides) under Danio rerio (zebrafish). Lineage: Eukaryota; Metazoa; Chordata; Actinopteri; Cypriniformes; Danionidae. The record is from RNAcentral.
AGCCACAGCCAUGUCACCCUGCAGCCCAAGACUGGUUACUCACUGAAGCUAAGCAGGGCUGAGCCUGGUCAGUACCUGGAUGGGAGACCACUAGGGAACACUAGGUUGCUGUUGGAA